CUGAACCAGCCAAGUAGCGUGAAGGAUGAAGGUCCUACGGAUUGUAAACUUCUUUUAUACGGGAAUAAAGUAUCCUACGUGUAGGAUUUUGUAUGUACCGUAUGAAUAAGCGUCGGCUAACUCCGUGCCAGCAGCCGCGGUAAUACGGAGGAUGCGAGCGUUAUCCGGAUUUAUUGGGUUUAAAGGGAGCGCAGACGGGAGAUUAAGUCAGUUGUGAAAGUUUGCGG
RNAcentral lists this ribosomal RNA (227 nucleotides) under uncultured Bacteroides sp. Its description in RNAcentral is "partial 16S ribosomal RNA". It matches the Rfam family "Bacterial small subunit ribosomal RNA", at positions 383 to 607 of the family's 1533-position model. The record is from RNAcentral. Lineage: Bacteria; Pseudomonadati; Bacteroidota; Bacteroidia; Bacteroidales; Bacteroidaceae.